This 170-nucleotide ribosomal RNA is filed under the name Jaydia lineata (Indian perch). Its description in RNAcentral is "partial 12S ribosomal RNA". The record is from RNAcentral. Lineage: Eukaryota; Metazoa; Chordata; Actinopteri; Kurtiformes; Apogonidae.
CACCGCGGUUAUACGAGAGACCCAAGCUGACAGUCGCCGGCGUAAAGAGUGGUUAAUUCACCCUAAAAAACUAAAGCCGAACAUUUCCAAAGCUGUAAAACGCACUCGAAGACAUGAAGACCAACCACGAAAGUAGCUUUACAUCACUUGAAUCCACGAAAGCUAGGAAA